GGGGGCGGGGCGGCGGGGGUCUGGGGACCCUCCGCGCAGGUAGGCAAGCGUAUUAACAGGGGUGACGCGCAGUGGUGGCCCCGCGGGUCUGAUGGCUCGGCCCGUUCAAGCGCGCGGCCCGCCGCCCAGGCAAAUCCGGGCGGCUGCCUUCGAUGGCGGGGGUGAGGCGCGAUGGUGACCCGGCCCGGUGGGGUCGGGGAAGUAGGGUGAUCCUGUGGCGCCGAGAAAAGCCUCGACGCGAGGGGCCGGUCCGCCCGUACCCCAAACCGACACAGGUGGUCGGGCAGAGCAUGCCCAGGCGCACGGGCGAACCGUGGUGAAGGAACUCGGCAAAACGCCCCCGUAACUUCGGGAGAAGGGGGGCCCGAACCCUGAGGCCCCGAGCGGGCUGGGGGUGAGGGUCGCAGAGGCCAGGGGGGAGCGACUGUUUACUAAAAACACAGGUCCGUGCGAAGCCGCAAGGCGAUGUAUACGGACUGACGCCUGCCCGGUGCUGGAAGGUCAAGAGGACCCGUCAGCCCCCCUUGCGGGGGUGAAGCGGUGAAUUCAAGCCCCAGUGAACGGCGGUGGUAACUAUAACCAUCCUAAGGUAGCGAAAUUCCUUGUCGGGUAAGUUCCGACCUGCACGAAUGGCGUAACGACUUCCCUGCUGUCUCAACCACAGGCCCGGUGAAAUUGCAGUACGAGUAAAGAUGCUCGUUUCGCGCGGCAGGACGAAAAGACCCCGGGACCUUUACUAUAGCUUGGUAUUGGUGUUUGGUCAUGCUUGUGUAGGAUAGGUGGGAGACUGUGAAGCCGUAACGCUAGUUGUGGUGGAGUCGCAGGUGAAAUACCACUCUGGUGUGAUUGGGUACCUGAACCUUGGCCCGUGAUCCGGGUUGGGGACAGUGCCUGGUGGGUAGUUUAACUGGGGCGGUUGCCUCCUAAAUGGUAACGGAGGCGCCCAAAGGUUUCCUCAGUCUGGUUGGCAAUCAGAUGGUGAGUGUAAGUGUAUAAGGGAGCUUGACUGUGACACUGACGGGUGGAGCAGGUGCGAAAGCAGGGACUAGUGAUCCGGCAUCGACGUGUGGUUGUGGUGUCGCUCAACGGAUAAAAGGUACCCCGGGGAUAACAGGCUGAUCUUCCCCAAGAGUUCAUAUCGACGGGAUGGUUUGGCACCUCGAUGUCGGCUCGUCGCAUCCUGGGGCUGGAGUAGGUCCCAAGGGUUGGGCUGUUCGCCCAUUAAAGCGGCACGCGAGCUGGGUUUAGAACGUCGUGAGACAGUUCGGUCUCUAUCCGCCGCGCGCGUUGAAACUUGAAGAAGGCUGUCCCUAGUACGAGAGGACCGGGAUGGACGUACCUCUGGUAUGCCAGUUGUCACGCCAGUGGCAUGGCUGGUUAGCUACGUGCGGGAGGGAUAACCGCUGAAAGCAUCUAAGCGGGAAGCCUGUUUUGAGAUGAGGUUUCUGUUGAGGUUCCCUGAAGAUGAUGGGGUUGAUAGGCCAGGGCUGUGAGCAUGGUGACGUGUUGGAGGUGACUGGUACUAAUACACCGACACAAAAAAACA
This 1546-nucleotide ribosomal RNA is filed under the name human oral metagenome. Its description in RNAcentral is "bacterial LSU rRNA". It matches the Rfam family "Bacterial large subunit ribosomal RNA", at positions 1411 to 2925 of the family's 2925-position model. The record is from RNAcentral.